UACGUAGGGGGCUAGCGUUGUCCGGAUUUAUUGGGCGUAAAGAGCGUGUAGGCGGCCAGGUAGGUCUGGUGUGAAAACUCGAGGCUUAACCUCGAGAUGUCAUCGGAAACCAUCUGGCUAGAGUCCGGAAGAGGAGAGUGGAAUUCCUGGUGUAGCGGUGAAAUGCGCAGAUAUCGGGAGGAACACCGGUGGCGAAGGCGGAUCUCUGGGCCUUACCUGACGCUGAGGCGCGAAAGCUAGGGGAGCGAACAGG
This 253-nucleotide ribosomal RNA is filed under the name uncultured bacterium. RNAcentral's name for it is "partial 16S ribosomal RNA". It matches the Rfam family "Bacterial small subunit ribosomal RNA", at positions 524 to 776 of the family's 1533-position model. The record is from RNAcentral.